This 253-nucleotide ribosomal RNA is filed under the name uncultured bacterium. RNAcentral describes it as "partial 16S ribosomal RNA". It matches the Rfam family "Bacterial small subunit ribosomal RNA", at positions 524 to 776 of the family's 1533-position model. The record is from RNAcentral.
UACGGAGGGUGCAAGCGUUGCUCGGAAUUACUGGGCGUAAAGGGCGUGUAGGCGGUUUUGUAUGUCUGGCGUGAAAGCCCCGGGCUCACCUCGGGAAGUGCGUUGGAAACUGCAAGACUAGAGUCCCGGAGAGGAAGGUGGAAUUCCAGGUGUAGCGGUGAAAUGCGUAGAUAUCGGGAAGAACACCGGUGGCGAAGGCGGCCUUCUGGACGGUGACUGACGCUGAGACGCGAAAGCGUGGGGAGCAAACAGG